AAGCCAUUCACUGAAGGUGCGCCUUAUGCUCCGAAGCGCCUUGUAGUGCGGAAAAUACGGUACACACUGUAUAAGGAGUGUGGGUCUUGACCUGCUCAUUGAGACUUUGAAUGACUUCUGUUGCGAAUUGGCUUUACAUCAAUAAAACCGACUUGACUGGAAGGACAAGAAUAAAGUUGACUCCAAGAGUCCAGCAUCGACGGUACAACGUAACUCGUUGACCAUGAUUUAGUCAUUUACCUCACAUUUUACUAUGAGCUGGCAGAACUGAGAUUCCAUCGAUGAAUUUCCAGCAUACUGAAUGUGAAAGUGACGCUCCGCUAAAACGGAGCACCAUCUUUGUGUUUCUUCUUAGGCAGUCGUCUCGCUUCAAAGUCUCUGUUCUGAUUGAUAUUUUACAGAUUUUUGCACAAGGCACUUUUUACUAGGGCCUCGGGAUAAAAAUGAAAGUGGUGAUUUAUGUCUGGUUCGUAUUUCGCAACAAAGUAGCACAUCAUAGUAACAUUAAUCAAUACUCAAAUGUGAAGUAAAGUCCUGUUACAGUACAUCUUACGGAAUACCAGGAUGAGCGUGAAGGUUUUGGGAAUUCACCGUCAGAGGACUGAGCAUAUGGCCCCCUUUUUCAACACUUGACAUGGAAACAGAUGUGCUUGACAGCUGAUCCUUUUGGAAUCCAUGAUAACAUUUUGGGGAAAAUCAGGCUUUUGGAUGUCCCUAACCACAUGGGCUUUCAAUUUCAUCCAAAAAUAAAAAUAAAAAAAAUCACACAACCGAUGCCCACCUUCAAACUAAAUCCUGUUUUUAUUUGCGCUAAAUAGUUUCCCGAAAUAGGCUCGCUACACUCUCAAGAGCAGUAAGUGUUUCCUUUCCUAUUCCCCCCAGCUUUCAGUGAAAAAAAAAAAAAAAUCACAUUUUUGCCUUGCAGCCUUUACCGGUUUAAACAAUUAAGAAAAGGGACGGAAAUAAAGAUUGACCGAACAAAACGAUUGAAUUCCUCUCGUAGCUUUAUCAAUGCUUAAGCAUAUGCCAAACCAAUUGAAAUCAAUACAACACGAACGGCUUUGUUUAUUAAUGCCGACGGGCGAGACGCGGCCAUCCUCAAAGAGUGAUUUACGACUUGGGAUUGUUACACCUUGAUAUCAAUUACAAAGCACGACAUUUGGCAUUCACGCAUCCAUCAAUGUCUAAAUGCUCGGGGUCGUUUUUCUAACAUCCCUCAUGAUUCAUUUUUCAGGUACUGUAUUAUGUGAGGAAAAAAAUAAUAAUAAAAGAGCCCACAACUAUAAAUUCUGCCGGUGAGAGCAUUUAUCAAACGAGUGUAGAGAUUUGAUGUCGGCUACAAAUAAUGGCGCUUGUUCCAGUAGUCCUCACGAUAAAAACAACCCAAGUUAAGACUUCAAAGUCGAAUUUUUGUUUUUUCUUUUCUUCUCAAUAUGACAACUCACUGCAAGUGCAGUCAUCAGCUAGCUUUGACUGAAUUACACUCAAAUAGAACCAUUUGGUCCACUUUGGACUGUUUCAGUACAUACCUGUCUCCAAGAGACGGCUUGAGGAGACUUUUAAAUCGGUCUCCUGUUCUAUGUUGACCAUUAAAGGAAAGGCUAAACAGCCAUAACUUUAAAAAAAAAAAACAUACAAAGAAGGAAAGGAAA
Long non-coding RNA from Hippocampus zosterae (dwarf seahorse), 1652 nucleotides. RefSeq lists it as uncharacterized. The transcript has 2 exons. NCBI's taxonomy places the organism in Eukaryota, Metazoa, Chordata, Actinopteri, Syngnathiformes, Syngnathidae. The record is from RefSeq and is a predicted model, not a curated record.